UUUAGAGGGAUAAGGGCCAAACACAGGCAGGUGGGACGAGCGUAGAUAGGGCAGCUUGGUCGGCAUGGGCAGAGUGGGCUGAAGGGCCU
Molecule: long non-coding RNA, 89 nt
Organism: Amblyraja radiata (thorny skate)
Lineage: Eukaryota; Metazoa; Chordata; Chondrichthyes; Rajiformes; Rajidae
Exons: 3
Source: RefSeq, a predicted model, not a curated record